AGCAGCCGCGGUAAUUCCAGCUCCAAUAGCGUAUAUUAAAGUUGUUGCAGUUAAAAAGCUCGUAGUUGAAUUUCGGGAUUAGUACGUUGGUCGUGCCUUAGGUACGUACUGGUGUUACUGGUUCCUACCUUCUGACGAACCAUCAUGUCAUUAAUUUGGUGUGGCGGGGAAUCAGGACUGUUACUUUGAAAAAAUUAGAGUGUUUAAAGCAGGCUCGCGCUUGAAUACAUUAGCAUGGAAUAAUGAAAUAGGACGUUGACCCUAUUUUGUUGGUUUCUAGGAUUGACGUAAUGAUUAAUAGGGAUAGUUGGGGGCAUUAGUAUUCAAUUGUCAGAGGUGAAAUUCUUGGAUUUAUUGAAGACUAACUACUGCGAAAGCAUUUGCCAAGGAUGUUUUCAUUAAUCAAGAACGAAAGUUAGGGAUCGAAGACGAUCAGAUACCGUCGUAGUCUUAACAUAAACUAUGCCGACUAGGGAUCGGGAUGGAUGUUAAUUUUUAAUGACUCAUUCGCGCCGUUACG
RNAcentral lists this ribosomal RNA (520 nucleotides) under uncultured Glomus. Its description in RNAcentral is "SSU rRNA". It matches the Rfam family "Eukaryotic small subunit ribosomal RNA", at positions 569 to 1092 of the family's 1831-position model. Lineage: Eukaryota; Fungi; Glomeromycota; Glomeromycetes; Glomerales; Glomeraceae. The record is from RNAcentral.